UCUAGAACGCAGGAUAUGGGCUGAACACUGAAAGUGUCUGGGCUUGAGGAGAGAUUCUGACUUCUCUGUUGUUGCUACAAUUUGAACUUGCAAACGGUCCUUUUGAAUCUUGGACUCUCAUGAAAGUUUUAGGCCUAUGUCUUAGCUUUCUAUC
This is a non-coding RNA of Populus trichocarpa (black cottonwood), 154 nucleotides long. The record is from Rfam. Lineage: Eukaryota; Viridiplantae; Streptophyta; Magnoliopsida; Malpighiales; Salicaceae.